RNAcentral lists this transfer RNA (73 nucleotides) under Beta vulgaris subsp. vulgaris (sugar beet). RNAcentral's name for it is "tRNA tRNA-Phe". It matches the Rfam family "tRNA". From Rfam's summary of the family: Transfer RNA (tRNA) molecules are approximately 80 nucleotides in length. Lineage: Eukaryota; Viridiplantae; Streptophyta; Magnoliopsida; Caryophyllales; Amaranthaceae. The record is from Rfam by way of RNAcentral.
GGGGCAAUAGCUCAGUUGGGAGAGCGUCAGACUGAAGAUCUGAAGGUCUCGUGUUCGAUCCACGAUUGCCCCA